GACGAACGCUGGCGGCGUGCUUAACACAUGCAAGUCGAACGGAAAGGCCCUGCUUUUGUGGGGUGCUCGAGUGGCGAACGGGUGAGUAACACGUGAGUAACCUGCCCUUGACUUUGGGAUAACUUCAGGAAACUGGGGCUAAUACCGGAUAGGAGCUCCUGCUGCAUGGUGGGGGUUGGAAAGUUUCGGCGGUUGGGGAUGGACUCGCGGCUUAUCAGCUUGUUGGUGGGGUAGUGGCUUACCAAGGCUUUGACGGGUAGCCGGCCUGAGAGGGUGACCGGCCACAUUGGGACUGAGAUACGGCCCAGAAUCCUACGGGAGGCAGCAGUGGGGAAUAUUGCACAAUGGGCGGAAGCCUGAUGCAGCAACGCCGCGUGCGGGAUGACGGCCUUCGGGUUGUAAACCGCUUUGGCCUGUGACGAAGCGUGAGUGACGGUAAUGGGUAAAGAAGCACCGGCUAACUACGUG
This 468-nucleotide ribosomal RNA is filed under the name uncultured bacterium. RNAcentral's name for it is "partial 16S ribosomal RNA". It matches the Rfam family "Bacterial small subunit ribosomal RNA", at positions 28 to 507 of the family's 1533-position model. The record is from RNAcentral.